Molecule: RNA transcript, 1301 nt
Organism: Piliocolobus tephrosceles (Ugandan red Colobus)
Lineage: Eukaryota; Metazoa; Chordata; Mammalia; Primates; Cercopithecidae
Exons: 1
Source: RefSeq, a predicted model, not a curated record
AUGGAUGUGGGCUUCCAGGGGAGGUGCUCGCGCUGGUUCCGAGCCCUCCGGGGAAGAUAUUCGAGCGCGGAGCGUAAGCGCAGGGCACGCCAGCCCGGGGGCAGCGGAAGCAGGCGCCGCGCGUCUCUGCACCACAGGGCCGCUUCCCAGCCGUCUUCCCCCAGUUUGCCCUCCUGCCGCAGUCCGGGCCCAGAUUAAUUAUCUGCACUUGCGAGUGGGCACACACACAAGUUCUCUGGACACGAUCCUUUCAUCUGUUUCCCCGGCGGAGUCCACCUUUUUAAAGAUUAACCUCCCAGCUACCGCGGGCAAGGGGGCAGGAUGAGAGUGGGGCGGGGAGGGGCGUUUCACAUGUUCAGAGGCACCAAAAUUAGCUGCCAGUGCUAAAAAGCUUUGUUUUCUUCGGUUUUUUGACAAACAAAUGGGGUGGGAUGCUUGCUUGGCCGCCCGCUGCCCCGGCCCGAGCCCUGGGCUCACUUAGCAGCCUGAUGCCGACUUUCAGACGCAGUCCUGCUCUGCUUACACCCGGGCUUCUUCGCCCCCUUGCCGAAGUCUGCAGCCCGAUGGAUGCUGGGCGCGGGCUUUCCCUGGGCGCUUUAACGCGGCUUAGGCUAAAGCCCCAGAGCUCCCACCUUCUCACCUCCUGUUUAUCGGCCCGCCCCUCUACCACAGCCAAAGGACGUGCCCCUUCUGUAGUGUCGGGGUUCCCAGCCCCAGCGCGGGGGAGGGCGCCUCCCUAUCCCCUCCUCCCCGUCGCCGCCUCGGCUCGGGGUUUUACUGCAGCAGCCGGAGGUGACAGCGACGCCUCAGCCGCCUCUGUUGCUCUCGGAGCCCCUGCUUCCCCUGCACUGGGAAAGCGCCCCCUCCGGAGAGGCUUGUCUCUGGAGAAGUGCGAACGAGCUGCAGAAAAACAAAUUUUAAAAUGUAGAAGUCGUUGAGCUGCAUUCCUCCAAGGACCAGUCUGAUCGCCCAGGACUGAGAGUGGCAGCGUUUGAGAAGUUGGGACCAUAGAGCAAGGGGGGGAGGGGAGUGUUGCAGCAGGCAUUCCCUUCUGGAAGGAGUCGCUGGGAGCAGUGCGGUUGGACACAAGUUUGCGUAGGAGUGUUUUCCUUUUGUCAAUAAUUAAUCACCGGAAUUAGCCGGGUAGAAUUUGAGUUUUAGCAAUAGUCCUGAGGGCGGGGCCGAACACCUAACUCCGGGAGGCUCCCAGGCGCCCGGCGCAGUGGGCAGCUCGCAGCAGCUGGGGAGGAGCCAAAGCCUCGGCGCUCACCUAAGCCACAGGGAGAUACACCCAACUGGGA